RNAcentral lists this ribosomal RNA (301 nucleotides) under uncultured bacterium. RNAcentral describes it as "partial 16S ribosomal RNA". It matches the Rfam family "Bacterial small subunit ribosomal RNA", at positions 509 to 807 of the family's 1533-position model. The record is from RNAcentral.
CAGUCGCCGCGGGAACACAGAGGGUGCAAGCGUUAAUCGGAAUUACUGGGCGUAAAGCGCGCGUAGGUGGUUUGUUAAGUUGGAUGUGAAAGCCCCGGGCUCAACCUGGGAACUGCAUCCAAAACUGGCAAGCUAGAGUACGGUAGAGGGUGGUGGAAUUUCCUGUGUAGCGGUGAAAUGCGUAGAUAUAGGAAGGAACACCAGUGGCGAAGGCGACCACCUGGACUGAUACUGACACUGAGGUGCGAAAGCGUGGGGAGCAUACAGGAUUAGAUACCCCAGUAGUCCCUGUCUCUUAUAC